RNAcentral lists this long non-coding RNA (994 nucleotides) under Homo sapiens (human). Its description in RNAcentral is "non-protein coding lnc-CA5B-1:1". The record is from RNAcentral. Lineage: Eukaryota; Metazoa; Chordata; Mammalia; Primates; Hominidae.
UGUGGCCUGAGAGGACGGCCAGGACUGGCCAGAAAAGAGAGGGACGUGGCUAAACGUGAGGGGGCGUGGCCAAGAUGGCCGCGUGCGGGAUCCUCGGGUACCGGGAGCGAACGAGGAGGUUCUGGCUCAGUGCAUCCACUCUGGGAGAGCGUGGACCUGGUUCCUGGGGGCGAUCGCCAGUCACCCAUCAACAUUCGGUGGAGGGACAGUGUUUAUGAUCCCGGCUUAAAACCACUGACCAUCUCUUAUGACCCAGCCACCUGCCUCCACGUCUGGAAUAAUGGGUACUCUUUCCUCGUGGAAUUUGAAGAUUCUACAGAUAAAUCAGCUGCACUUAGUGCAUUGGAACGCAGUCAAAUUUGAAAACUUUGAGGAUGCAGCACUGGAAGAAAAUGGUUUGGCUGUGAUAGGAGUAUUUUUAAAGAUUUCGGAAACUUCUGGCAGCCCAGUGUCUACUGGAAGGCCCAAGCCGCUUGCCAGAAAGCUGCGCCCCGCCCAAAAGCACUGGGUUCUGCAGUCCAGGCCCUUCCUCAGCUCCCAGGUCCAGGAGAACUGCAAGGUCACCUACUUCCACAGGAAGCACUGGGUCCGCAUCCGGCCCCUCCGCACCACUCCUCCCAGCUGGGACUACACCCGCAUCUGCAUCCAGAGAGAGAUGGUCCCCGCCCGCAUCCGCGUCCUGAGAGAGAUGGUCCCCGAGGCCUGGAGGUGCUUUCCCAACAGGCUGCCGCUGCUGAGCAACAUCAGGCCUGAUUUCUCCAAGGCUCCCCUGGCCUACGUGAAGCGGUGGCUUUGGACCGCCCGCCACCCCCACAGCCUGUCCGCAGCCUGGUGACCGUGAAAAUCGCCCCGCCAGAGAGCAGAGGAAGCCCGACGCCCAGGCCAUCUGCCUUCAGGUCUGUGAUGAGAAACGGAGUGGCCUGUUCCGUUGUGCCCAGGUCUAGGCCGCUGAGCAGAGCCCUCACUCCCAGGCAGAGUUGUCUGAAUCCUUCCU